UACGUAGGGGGCGAGCGUUGUCCGGAGUUACUGGGCGUAAAGCGCACGCAGGCGGUCUGCUAAGUUUGGAGUGACAGUUGGUGGCUUAACUGCCAAAGUGCUUCGAAAACUGACAGACUUGAGGGCUUCAGAGGGACACGGAAUUCCGGGUGGAGUGGUGAAAUGCGUAGAGAUCCGGAGGAACACCAAAGGCGAAGGCAGUGUCCUGGGGAGUACCUGACGCUCAGGAGCGAAAGCUAGGGGAGCAAACGGG
This 253-nucleotide ribosomal RNA is filed under the name uncultured bacterium. RNAcentral describes it as "partial 16S ribosomal RNA". It matches the Rfam family "Bacterial small subunit ribosomal RNA", at positions 524 to 776 of the family's 1533-position model. The record is from RNAcentral.